AGGGCACCACCAGGAGUGGAGCCUGCGGCUUAAUUUGACUCAACACGGGAAAACUCACCCGGCCCGGACACUGUAAGGAUUGACAGAUUGAUAGCUCUUUCUUAAUUCAGUGGAUGGUGGUGCAUGGCCGUUCUUAGUUGGUGGACUGAUUUGUCUGGUUAAUUCCGAUAACGAACGAGACUCUCGCCUACUAAAUAGACGGCGUAUCGAAACGUACGCCGAGCUUCUUAGAGGGACAAGCGGCGCCUAGCCGCAUGAAACAGAGCAAUAACAGGUCUGUGAUGCCCUUAGAUGUCCGGGGCUGCACGCGCGCUACACUGGCGAAAUCAGCGUGCCUGUCCUCUCUCGAAAGAGAUUGGUAAACCAAUGAAAAUUCGCCGUGAUUGGGAUCGGAAAUUGCAAUUAUUUUCCGUGAACGAGGAAUUCCAAGUAAGUGCGAGUCAUCAACUCGCGUUGAUUACGUCCCUGCCCUUUGUACACACCGCCCGUCGCUGCCCUGGACUGAGCCAUUUCGAGAAA
This 519-nucleotide ribosomal RNA is filed under the name uncultured eukaryote. RNAcentral's name for it is "bacterial SSU rRNA". It matches the Rfam family "Eukaryotic small subunit ribosomal RNA", at positions 1161 to 1706 of the family's 1831-position model. The record is from RNAcentral.